UACGCACGCGCGCGCGCGCGCGCGCACGGACGGGGAGGCUGGAUGUUACGGUGCGGUAUCGCGAGAGCGGCGUGCCGCGACCGCAGCGCUGGAUGGCGCUGGUAGGGGCUGGAUGCGCCCACGGCUCCCCCUCGCUCCCGUUAAAUCACACGGUGGGACACGCGAUAGGACGGAGACCGGCGGCGACGGCACCGGGGCAGCGUGAAGCGGCUCAGGACUCCACACAUGGGAGCAGUGGUGCCGUCUAAUCAACAGUUUUCUGGCGGAGAUGCUCUGGACUCCCAUGUCCUUAAACAUAAGCUGCAGCGUUUAAGGAGCUGAAGGAAGGAAAACAAAGCCAAGCGCCGGCUUUGGCCAGUGGUCUGAAGUGGAACCAGGGCUGGAGACGGGCGGCGCCGCAUGGGUCCCAGAACCUCAUCCAAGGCGCCGCGCAUCUCCGUGACCUCCCAUCGCGGCCUCUCUCCUCCGCUUCCUCCUUUUGCUUUCCUCCCCUUCUCCCUCUUUGUGUCUCAUGGGAGUGACAUAGAGGCGGUCGCCCGGUCUGCCGCCCCGCCUCCUCCCCGCCGCGCCGUGGAAACGGGGGCUUCCAGGCAGUGAUGUCGUGGAAGAGGAACUACUUUGCGUCGGGUGGCGGAGCAGCAGCAGCAGCAGCAGCAGCAGCAGCAGCAGCAGCGGCAGCGGCAGCAGCGGCAGCGGGAGCGGGCGGGGGGCCGGGGCUGGUGACCCCAAGAACCAUGAACUCCAUUGCGCCCAGCAAAGGCCUGAGCAACGAGCCGGGUCAGAACAGUUGCUUCCUCAACAGCGCCCUGCAGGUUCUGUGGCACCUUGACAUCUUUCGCAGGAGUUUUCGACAGCUGACCACGCACAAGUGCAUGGAGGACUCGUGCAUCUUCUGUGCUUUGAAGAGUAUCUUUGCACAGUUUCAGUACAGCAGUGAGCGUGUGCUGCCUUCAGAUGCACUGCGGAGCGCCCUGGCCAAGACUUUCCAAGACGAGCAGCGCUUUCAGCUGGGCAUCAUGGACGACGCUGCAGAGUGCUUUGAGAACCUCCUGAUGCGCAUCCACUUCCACAUCAGCGCCGAGAGCAGGGAGGACAUCUGCACGGCCAAGCACUGCAUACCGCACCAGAAGUUCGCCAUGACGCUCUUUGAGCAGUGUGUGUGCAACAGCUGCGGAGCCACAUCGGACCCCCUGCCCUUCAUUCAGAUGGUUCAUUACAUCUCCACCACGUCCCUGUGCAACCAGGCGGUGAGGAUGCUGGAGUGCAGGGAGAAGGCCACGCCGGACAUGUUCGGGGAGCUGCUCCGCAACGCCAGCAACAUGGGAGACCUGCGCAACUGCCCAAGUAACUGUGGGGAGGUGUUGCGCAUCCGCCGCGUGCUGAUGAACUCGCCGGAGAUCGUGUCCAUCGGGCUGGUGUGGGAUUCGGACCACUCGGACCUGGCGGAGGACGUCAUACACAGCCUGGGGACCUGUCUGCGUCUGGGAGACUUGUUCUACCGUGUGACAGAGGAGAGGGCUCGCCAGGCGGAGCUCUACUUGGUGGGCAUGGUGUGCUACUACGGCAAGCACUACUCCACCUUCUUCUUCCAGACCAAGAUACGCAAGUGGAUGUACUUCGACGACGCCCACGUCAAAGAGAUCGGCCCUAAGUGGAAGGACGUAGUGUCUCGCUGUAUCAAAGGCCACUACCAGCCCCUGCUGCUGCUCUACGCUGACCCCCGUGGGACGCCUGUGAUACUGCAGGAGAGCCCCAACCCCUGUUCCAGCUCCAACCCGCAGCUGGAGCUCCAGCACUGCAGCAGCCGCGCCGGCUACGACAGCGAGGACUCCGGUCGCGAGCCAUCCAUCUCCAGCGACACGCGCACCGACUCGUCCACGGACAGCUCCAGCCACCGCGCCGCGCGCAGCCGGCCGCUCCACCAGUCCACGGGCAGCCACCUGUCCAGCGAGUCCCAGACCACCGUCGUGUGUAGCUGCGACACCGGCACGCCGCCGCACGCCGCCGACUCUGGAGGGUCAGCGGUGGAGGGGCCCCUCCGCCCUCCCUCUCCUCCCCUGCAGGAGUACAAGGAAACGGCCGUCUUCCUCCUCUCCUCCCGCCGGCCGCUCACCUCCUCCUCCUCCUCCUCUCGUCCACUCUCCUCCUCCUCCUCCUCGGGGGUUGGGGGCUGUGAGGGAGGGGUCGGGGGGCCCCACUGGGAGGAUGAGAGCACCAGCAGUGAGAGCAAGUCCAGCUCCUCUGGAGGCCAUUACAGACCAACCUGGAGGCCCAGGAGGGAGGCCCUGAACAUUGACAGCAUCUUCACCAGGCAGAGAGGCUACAACACUCUCCCUGGUCCCUCUCUCGCCCCGGAGCCCCAGGUCUCUCUCACCUCGGUGGGACUCGCCCCACAGACAAAGCCAGGGCUGCAGGAGCCGGUGGGGAAGGACGCGGAGGCGGGCUUGGGGCUGGUCGGGCCGCCCCGGUCUCUGGGCGGCGGCCGGACCAUGGGUCCCCCUGCCCCUCCACCUCUGCGAGGGGUGGAGCACCAGCCGCGUCUGAUUCAGAGGAUGGAGAGUGGCUACGAGAGCAGCGAGAGGAACAGCAGCAGCCCUGACAGGGAGGUGGGGCAACAGAAGCGGGCGCUGAUGUCAGGACCUUCAUGGCGUUCGGUGCCCAAGUCCAAGAGCAGCGGCGCCAUCCUGCAGGAGCUGCCGUCGUCCAGUUGGACCGGCGGCGGCGGCGCCAACACAGCGUUGGGGCGCAGCGAGCUGGACGAGCUGCAGGAGGAGGUGGUGAGGAGAGCGCGUCAGCAGGAGCAGCAGAAGCGAAGAGAGGCCGAGCGGGAGGUGGCCAUGGGAUUUAACCCCAAGCCCAGCAAAUACAUGGACCUGGACCAGCUUCAGCACCAGGCUGUGCUCAGACCCCUGCAUGAGGCUAACGCUCAUAGCGGAUUGGCUGUAGCUGCGUGCAUGAGGAGCGCUGGGGGCCCAGGCAAAUGCAGGCAGGAACAGGAAACGGAGCGGGAGGCAGGAGGCGCCCGGCCACAGGGGCAUCACAGUGAACAGCCUGGCCCGGUCCAAGUACUGCUGACACCCGAUCCGGAGGAGGAAGGGGACCCGGCGACGCCCAACCAGGACGCGGCUCCGGGCCCGGACCCGCCUCCUCCACCCUAUCGCCCCGCUCCGCCUCGACCCACGCUCACCCUCGACAUCGCUCACCCCUGCGCCCCCUCCGGCCGCGGCGAGCCGGAGACGGGGAGACGGGGGGAGGGGGGCGAGGACGGCAGGGAGGGCACGGGCGUGAGGCUGUGCGAGCUGCUGCAGGCAGGGGGGGUGAGCGUCAGACCCCUGGGGAAGCACUUAGCCAUCUCGCUGCCCUCGCUCCCUCUGCGUCUCUGGGACACUCACGCCGCACACUCCCCAGACCUCGAACCCCCGCGCACACAGCCGCCGCCCCCCCCUCCCCCUCCGCCUCCGCCUCCUCCCCCGCCUCGUCCUCUGGAGGCUUCCGGGCAAAGGAAUGCUCCGGCGCCCGUGUGGCAGCCGCCCCCUCCGCCUCCCCAGGCUCAGCGCUGGCACGAGGCCCACGCUGACGGCACCACGCGCCACUGGUCGUCCUGGAGCCUGGACCGGCCCGACGCGGUGGUGACGCCGUACGACACGCCCCCGGACCGCUGCGUCCCCAUCGGGCCGCCGCGCUGCAGCCACGGCUGCAGCCACGGCUGCCAGGCGCCUUCGGGCCACUGUGGCUCCCGGCGCCAUGGCCGCGAGGAGGCGGAGCUGUCCGAGCUGGACUCCCUUUACCAGGCCAGUCUGCAGGCCGGGAGGACAGGCUGCAGCCCAUCAGAGAGGCUCAUAUCCAGGGUCGGAGGUCAGGGCCGCUCUAAGACGCCAAACGCAGACAUGGAGAGGAGUGUGUACGGGGCAGACUGCACCAGCACCCCCACCUACCUCAGCAAGCAAGCAGCGGCGCGGGAGGCGCGUUUCGGGGAGAAGCCCGCCGACGGGGAGGACCUGAGGCCCAUCGGACGCAGCCUGAGCGGCACAGUGGUGACCUCGCGCCGCAGCCGCCUCACCGCCACCCGCAGCUUCGUGAAGCAGGCUGAUGUCAGUGCCUCUCCUUGCUUACUUCCUCUCUUCUGAGUCCCUGUUGCUAUUCCACCACUAUCAUCUCCCCCAUCCUCCUCAUCACCAACACCUACUCAUCACCACCUCCCUCCACUGCUUCACAGGAGCUGUCGGGCGGCGCCGGGAGCUUCUGGCUGUGUCUGACGGGGGUCAAAGUGUCCUCGGACCAGAGUCCUGCUCUGCUUCACUAACUAACGUCCCGCUGGGGACCAGCAGGGGGUCCUCGAUGGCCUCAGGAGGAUCCAACUCGCCUCCAACCCCCCCCCCCCCCACCCCAAAUCUACACGCACACACAAACACAUGCACGCACACAUGCACAUCUGCACUGACGUAGAGCCUGCCUCAGCCUGCAGCACCCUGCUUCGCCCCUCUUUGCCUUCUUCUCCCCCUGCUUCCCCCUCUUUUGAUCUACUAUUCUGUCUAUGCAGUAACUCUGACCCCCCCUUACGUCCCGGGACUGUGUCUUGCCCCCCCCUGGGUUCCUGGGGGGUUCCCCGUGCAGUCAGCCUGGCGAGCAUGCCGCUUUGGCUGGUGCUGUCGGUUCUGUUGUCGGGUCCGACGGGGAAACCGAGCCCUCGUGGACUCUCCCUCCGGCUCAGGGGGGGCUCUUACCAAGUAGCCACGCCUCUUCUUUCUUCACGGGCAUUUCCUGUUGGACGCACACGUAGCCGAACUGGGUCUGAUUCUAACGGACAGCCAUAUUUUUCCCCCUUUCAGUUUUUGGGUCCGUUUUGUUUUGUUUUUUUCUCGUUCUGUGUUUGCGCACAGUGACCCGAACUCUCUAAUAACUAAAGUCAUGUACAGAAAACUAUGUAUGAAACCUGUAUGUUAAUUAAUAAGACCUUAUGGAAUGUUGAUAAUGAUAAUUAACACAUACUGAUAAACUUAAAGUGGUACUUCCUCAUGUUGCAUUUCAAUUAGGAGUGGAGUGCACUUCACAAGUGUCUAGCUGGAGUUUCCGCCCCCAAACUGCUCGCUGGCUUAAUGACAGCUCUCCCGUUUCUACCGGGAGUUUAAACAAGAACAGCGCUUCCUCUUUUGUUUUUUCUCUCUCUCAGCUUUUCUCCCUUAUCGCCGUCUUUGAUUCCUGCCGUUUCUUUUCCCCCCCUCUUCCAAACAGGAAACAGUAGCACCGGACACAGGGCAGCAGGGAUGGGGCACGUCGGGAAGGAAUCCCAGAAUGUAGGUUAGGAAACCCUCCUCUUAGGCUUUAUCGGUGACUGGAGACGUGAUUCAAGUGCGCUUUGCGGGGGUCACGCGGCAUAAGUGCACUUCACGAAGGCCGCGUGACUGGGAACGAGCUGAGGCGGCGGUUGUUUUACUUAAAAGGUCUCAGGUGAAUUCACACUUUACGGUUUCUCCCUCGAUUCUGAGACCUCAUGUGGAAAACGAAAAAAAAAAAGCUCAUCAGCCUGUGACUUGUCUAAUAUGAAUAUGCUUUAUAUGAUGUAUAUGUAUUAGAGGUAUAUUUUCAAGCAGUGAGCUACCUUCUUCAGAGAUGUCAGCCAUUCCUCAGUUGUAUGAACAGUGAUGAACAGUUGCCUCACUCCCCCUUUUAACAAGUAACGUUCUGCUACGUGUCGAGUACAUUUAUUAUAAUGCUUUAUUCUAAUAAACCACAUAUAAAGUAACACAGGCAUUUUUAAAACACGUGGCCAAUGUAAAACUCCGUAAGGAUUUACUGAUGUUGGUUGAUUGUUGUAACUAAACCAAAGGUUGGCACUUAACUCAGAGGGCGUAUUUAACAUGGCUGUUUUUUUUCAUAGAUUCUAAUUUUGUUGUUUGUUUAUUUGUUGUUGUUGUUGGUGGUGGUGGUGGGUUUUUUUUUGGGGGGGGGGGGGGGUGUCUGGAUGUGGGAGAAUGUAGCCAAUUGUAGCGCAUGAGUCCGCUAUGCAAAUCAACCUUCCCUCAUGAUCCUGUGUCGGAGACGUCAGGAGGCAGACGCACCCGCCCGCAGGUCGCUCCCGUGGAGGAGGACGUGUGGUCCAUGCUGCACGAGAACUGUGUUCUAUGUUCGGCCGAUGGAUAUACGAUAGCAGCGAGGAUGAGGAAGGCGAGAGAGAGAGAGAGAGAGAGAGAGAGAGAGAGAGAGAGAGAGAGAGAGAGAGAGAGCGAAUGAAUGUGAACUCAGUGGAAGCGUGUGCUUGUGAGUGGCUCGGGGUCCGUGGGUGUGCGCGCGCUGAGCGUGUCAGUUGUGGGGUGGCGUUGCCUGGGGAAAGAGGGAACCUGUAUUUUUGCAAUAAAGUUAUUACUAAUGCACUCCCAGCGGGGGGCGUAACCACUGUAA
This is an RNA transcript of Betta splendens (Siamese fighting fish), 6399 nucleotides long. It is a transcript of the gene named inactive ubiquitin carboxyl-terminal hydrolase 54-like, with no coding region annotated. The transcript has 21 exons. The record is from RefSeq and is a predicted model, not a curated record. Lineage: Eukaryota; Metazoa; Chordata; Actinopteri; Anabantiformes; Osphronemidae.